GAUGAACGCUGGCGGCGUGCCUAAUACAUGCAAGUCGAACGCACAGCGAAAGGUGCUUGCACCUUUCAAGUGAGUGGCGAACGGGUGAGUAACACGUGGACAACCUGCCUCAAGGCUGGGGAUAACAUUUGGAAACAGAUGCUAAUACCGAAUAAAACUUAGUGUCGCAUGACACAAAGUUAAAAGGCGCUUUGGCGUCACCUCGAGAUGGAUCCGCGGUGCAUUAGUUAGUUGGUGGGGUAAAGGCCUACCAAGACAAUGAUGCAUAGCCGAGUUGGGAGACUGAUCGGCCACAUUCGGACUGAGACACGGCCCAAACUCCUACGGGAGGCUGCAGUAGGGAAUCUUCCACAAUGGGCUAAAGCCUGAUGGAGCAACGCCGCGUGUGUGAUGAAGGCUUUCGGGUCGUAAAGCACUGUUGUAUGCGAAGAACAGCGAGAAUAGGGAAUGAUGUUAGUUUGACGGUACCAUACCAGACAGGGACGGCUAAAUACGUGCCAGCCGCCGCGGUAA
Molecule: ribosomal RNA, 513 nt
Filed under: uncultured bacterium
Lineage: Bacteria
Description: partial 16S ribosomal RNA
Rfam family: Bacterial small subunit ribosomal RNA
Source: RNAcentral